GGAAAGAGGAAGUCUACUAAGACAAAAUAUACUUUCUUAGGAUUCCCGCAUCCAUUACAUAGAAAGUAAACGAUGAUGUGAUAACACGUAUGCUAAGGUGGGUGUGCCAACGACCACAGAAGUCUCAUAUUACACAAGACCAGGUGUUCGAGUCGCCGAUGGGUUCAUAUUGAGUUAGAGCAGCUAAUCAACAUGUCGAAGAAGGUUCAUAUUGGUUUAAAGGAGCCAAUCGAUGUCAUUGACGAUGAGGUUCAGAUUUAGGAAAUUGGAAAAAAAAGUUUUUACUCAUUUGGAUUCAGACGUCAUGAAGAUAGAACCAUUUUCCAAUCUACGACCAUAUGUUCGACCCGUACGUAGGAAGCGUGCAAGUGUUUACCUGUCUACCCCAUUCACAACUUUAACUAAACAGUCUACGACAUCAACCAUUAAUAGCUCUUGGUCUCAACCAUUCGUUUAUGAUCCCAUGCAUAAAAUACUAGACACCGAGUUAGAUAGACUUAGAGUUUGGAUUACAAACAAGCAUACAAGCAAUGAGGCUGUGAUACAUUUUAUGGGAAAAAUUGACGAUGUUUUUUAGAGAAUUAUUUAUAAUGUGUCGUAGGUGG
Long non-coding RNA from Cucumis melo (muskmelon), 605 nucleotides. RefSeq lists it as uncharacterized. The record is from RefSeq and is a predicted model, not a curated record. NCBI's taxonomy places the organism in Eukaryota, Viridiplantae, Streptophyta, Magnoliopsida, Cucurbitales, Cucurbitaceae. The transcript has 3 exons.